This 510-nucleotide ribosomal RNA is filed under the name Triticum aestivum (bread wheat). RNAcentral's name for it is "partial small subunit ribosomal RNA". Lineage: Eukaryota; Viridiplantae; Streptophyta; Magnoliopsida; Poales; Poaceae. The record is from RNAcentral.
AUGGCUGUUGCAGCCCACGUACGGGCAAUAGUAGUACGUGGACGCGAGCAGGUGGCCGAGACGAGAUGCGAUGGUGUGGUCGGUGCAGCGUGGAUGGCUAGCAUUCCAUCCAGCAGGCCAGCUACAAUAAGCGUUCCACAAGGAAGCCCAAUAUCACGUGGAGGCCUAGUGCUUGGGCUAGAACGUGAGCAUAUUCCAGAAGCUCUGGACGGAGGUACUACUACCCAUAAAGUUUUUUCUAGCAUGCGAGAAGAUAUGCAAGGUAUACUCACGGAAGGCAAGCUAGAAAUUAGCAGCAACUGUGCAGGGCUUACGAGGAGCAGUUCCGAAGAGCCCAAAUCACCAGCAACAGGAACUUUGGCAAGUCCAGACGACAGUGUGCCCUCUUCGGUACCACGAGAACGAUGCGUGUUGGACAUAUCCUCAGAGGAAGCGCUUCGAAUAAAUUCGAUGAAGAUGAAGAGUAAAGGGCAACGAAGUUUGCACAUCGAGGAACCGGAAAUUUUUUGA